GAGAGAGAGAGAGAGAGAGAGAGAGAGAGAGAGAGAGAUGAACCGAUACUGAGUAAGUGGGCGAGUGAGAGAGGGAGGGAGGGAGGGAGGGAGGGAGAGAGAGAGCUGGUGUGUAUGCACUGGAGGGUGAUCCUCUAUACUGUUUGAGCUCCUGUUUAUCUCUGUGUCUGUCUCCUCUGCGUGCAUUCCUUCCCGACAGAAGCCACAAGGACAGCAAGGAGAGCUUGCUAUCAUAAACCAGCAUGAAAAAGUGAGAAACAUUCAAGCUGCCACCAUACUCCGAGAUAGAUGUCAAGCUGUUUGUGUGAGUUGAAACUUGCGACUACACAGCGGUAAAAACGUGAGAAGACCUGAAAGCCAUGGGUGGAAAAGAAGAAGAAAAAGAAAAAGUGACAGUUAUUGAGGGAUUAUGCGUCAUCAUUGACAUUUGCAGAACAUUUUUAUCGAGCUGUAUUCAUUAUCUGGUGAAUUACUCCCUUUUUAGCACCUAAUCAGCCUGCCGCGGAUUAGCUUCAGCUCAUGUAAAAUUUAUUUCAUGCUUCAGCUUCCAUGGAAGCGAGGCAUGAAGAACCACUCAGACCAGUGAAUGUGCCAGAGGCAUGCAAAUAAAUGACA
Long non-coding RNA from Dicentrarchus labrax (European seabass), 615 nucleotides. RefSeq lists it as uncharacterized. The transcript has 3 exons. The record is from RefSeq and is a predicted model, not a curated record. NCBI's taxonomy places the organism in Eukaryota, Metazoa, Chordata, Actinopteri, Moronidae.